This 253-nucleotide ribosomal RNA is filed under the name uncultured bacterium. RNAcentral describes it as "partial 16S ribosomal RNA". It matches the Rfam family "Bacterial small subunit ribosomal RNA", at positions 524 to 776 of the family's 1533-position model. The record is from RNAcentral.
UACGUAGGUGGCAAGCGUUGUCCGGAUUUAUUGGGUUUAAAGGGUGCGUAGGUGGGUAGGUAAGUCAGUGGUGAAAUCUUCGAGCUUAACUCGGAAACUGCCAUUGAUACUAUUUAUCUUGAAUACUUUGGAGGUAAGCGGAAUAUGUCAUGUAGCGGUGAAAUGCUUAGAUAUGACAUAGAACACCAAUUGCGAAGGCAGCUUACUACACAGUUAUUGACACUGAGGCACGAAAGCGUGGGGAGCAAACAGG